GACGAACGCUGGCGGCGUGCCUAAUACAUGCAAGUCGAACGAAGCUGUUUUAACUGGUGCUUGCACCGACUUAAACAACUGAGUGGCGAACGAGUGAGUAACACGUGGGUAACCUGCACCAAAGCGGGGGAUAACAUUUGGAAACAGAUGCUAAUACCGCAUAACCACAGAAACCACAUGGUUUCUGUGUCAAAGAUGGUUUCGGCUAUCACUUUGGGAUGGACCCGCGGCGUAUUAGCUAGUUGGUAAGGUAAUGGCUUACCAAGGCAAUGAUACGUAGCCGAACUGAGAGGUUGAUCGGCCACAUUGGGACUGAGACACGGCCCAAACUCCUACGGGAGGCAGCAGUAGGGAAUCUUCCACAAUGGACGAAAGUCUGAUGGAGCAACGCCGCGUGAGUGAAGAAGGUUUUCGGAUCGUAAAACUCUGUUGUCAGAGAAGAACGUGUGCGAGAGUAACUGUUCGUGCAGUGACGGUAUCUGGCCAGAAAGCCACGGCUAACUACGUGCCAGCAGCCGCCGUAA
This 524-nucleotide ribosomal RNA is filed under the name uncultured bacterium. Its description in RNAcentral is "partial 16S ribosomal RNA". It matches the Rfam family "Bacterial small subunit ribosomal RNA", at positions 28 to 523 of the family's 1533-position model. The record is from RNAcentral.